RNAcentral lists this long non-coding RNA (307 nucleotides) under Eurytemora carolleeae. Its description in RNAcentral is "uncharacterized LOC111717221". Lineage: Eukaryota; Metazoa; Arthropoda; Copepoda; Calanoida; Temoridae. The record is from RNAcentral.
UCUAUUUGAAAUCAAACUAAACAAGAAGACCUCCCAAGAUGCAGUUGAAUUUUAUCUUGGUAACAAUGUUCCUAUUCUUCAGCUCAACAUUGGCUAAAAUGUAUCUUGUGGAAACUGCAGAUGAGAACGCAGCACCUGAAUUAUAUGAGAAAGUAAAGAAUACUAAGGUUGGAAAUGUUGGGGGAGAUGAUUAUUGGUGGAAUAGAGCCCCUGGGGGUUUAAAAUUUGGCCGGAAAUAGAAAAUGGAAAUUAAUGUUAUAUUUCCUUUCUUUUUUUUACUUACAGAAUAAAGCGUUAAAAUCUUUCA